CUUACACAUGCAGUCGAGGGGUACGACUCCGUCUUCGGAUGGAGGUCGACGACCGGCGCACGGGUGAGUAACGCGUAUGNCACCUACCUUUUACAGGAGGAUAGCCCAGAGAAAUUUGGAUUAAUACUCCAUAGUACUAAUGAAUCACCUGGUUUAUUAGUUAAAACUCCGGUGGUAAAAGAUGGGCAUGCGUGUCAUUAGCUAGUUGGUAAGGUAACGGGUUAACAAGGGCGAAAGAUUAACUAGGGGUUCUGAGAGGAAGAUCCCCCACACUGGUACUGAGACACGGACCAGACUCCUACGGGAGGCAGCAGUGAGGAAUAUUGGUCAAUGGGUGAGAGCCUGAACCAGCCAUGUCGCGUGAAGGAAGACUGCCCUAUGGGUUGUAAACUUCUUUUCUGCAGGAAGAAAUCACUCUACGUGUAGGGUGUUGCCGGUACUGCAGGAAUAAGCAUCGGCUAACUCCGUGCCAGCAGCCGCGGUAAUACGGAGGAUGCAAGCGUUAUCCGGAUUUAUUGGGUUUAAAGGGUGCGUAGGCGGGCUUGUAAGUCAGUGGUGAAAUGCUGUGGCUUAACCAUAGAAUUGCCAUUGAAACUGCAAGUCUUGAGUACAGUUGAGGUGGGCGGAAUGAGUAAUGUAGCGGUGAAAUGCAUAGAUAUUACUCAGAACUCCGAUUGCGUAGGCAGCUUGCUAAACUGUAACUGACGCUGAUGCACGAAAGCGUGGGGAGCGAACAGGAUUAGAUACCCUGGUAGUCCACGCUGUAAACGAUGAGCACUGGUUGUUGGCAAUACACCGUCAGCGACUGAGCGAAAGUAUUAAGUGCUCCCACCUGGGGAGUACGUCGGCAACGAUGAAACUCAAAAGGGAAUUGACGGGGGCCCGCACAAGCGGAGGAACAUGUGGUUAUAUUCGAUGAUACGCGAGGAACCUUACCUGGGCUUAAAUGUAGAGUGCAUUGUUUUGGAAACAGACAUUUUCUUCGGAACUCUUUACAAGGUGCUGCAUGGUUGUCGUCAGCUCGUGCCGUGAGGUGUCGGGUUAAGUCCCAUAACGAGCGCAA
This 1063-nucleotide ribosomal RNA is filed under the name uncultured organism. Its description in RNAcentral is "bacterial SSU rRNA". It matches the Rfam family "Bacterial small subunit ribosomal RNA", at positions 48 to 1101 of the family's 1533-position model. The record is from RNAcentral.